This 375-nucleotide ribosomal RNA is filed under the name uncultured bacterium. Its description in RNAcentral is "bacterial SSU rRNA". It matches the Rfam family "Bacterial small subunit ribosomal RNA", at positions 525 to 896 of the family's 1533-position model. The record is from RNAcentral.
ACAGAGGGGGCAAGCGUUGUCCGGAAUUACUGGGCGUAAAGCGUACGCAGGUGGCCAUGCAAGUGUGAUGUGAAAGCCCCGCGCUUAACGCGGGGAGGCCAUUACAGACUGCAUAGCUCGAGGGAUGCAGAGGGUCGUGGAAUUGCCGGUGUAGUGGUGAAAUGCGUAGAGAUCGGCAGGAACACCAAGGACGAAGGUAGCGACCUGGGCAUCACCUGACACUCAUGUACGACAGCGUGGGGAGCGAACCGGAUUAGAUACCCGGGUAGUCCACGCCGUAAACGACGGAUGCUCGGCGUGUGGCGGCUAUCAACGCCGCUGGGCGCCUCAGCUGACGCGGAAGCAUCCCGCCUGGGAACUACGAGCGCAAGCUUA